GCAAAUGCUUCCUUGCAGUGAAAGGGAAAGUGUCUUGUUUCUGCAGUUUCCUGGCAUUGUGACCAUCAGGAGAUGGCCUCCAACCGCCCAGUUCGUUUUCCUCACCUAUGUGCUUGGAGUGGCCUGGCUGGGUGUGUUUGGUUUCUCAGCGGUGCCCGUGUUUAUGUUCUACAACAUAUGGUCAACUUGUGAAGUCAUCAAGUCACCGCAGACCAACGGGACCACGGGUGUGGAGCAGAUCUGUGUGGAUAUCCGACAAUACGGUAUCAUUCCUUGGAAUGCUUUCCCGGGAAAAAUAUGUGGCUCUGCUCUGGAGAACAUCUGCAACACAAACGAGUUCUACAUGUCCUAUCACCUGUUCAUUGUGGCCUGUGCAGGAGCUGGUGCCACCGUCAUUGCCCUGAUCCACUUCCUCAUGAUACUGUCUUCUAACUGGGCUUACUUAAAGGAUGCGAGCAAAAUGCAGGCUUACCAGGAUAUCAAAGCAAAGGAAGAACAGGAACUGCAAGAUAUCCAGUCUCGGUCAAAAGAACAACUCAAUUCUUACACAUAAAUGUUUGCCAGAGUGUUUCGGCCGACG
Molecule: small RNA, 580 nt
Filed under: Pongo abelii (Sumatran orangutan)
Lineage: Eukaryota; Metazoa; Chordata; Mammalia; Primates; Hominidae
Description: processed transcript
Source: RNAcentral